Molecule: non-coding RNA, 91 nt
Organism: Hyaena hyaena (striped hyena)
Lineage: Eukaryota; Metazoa; Chordata; Mammalia; Carnivora; Hyaenidae
Source: the annotation of a RefSeq genome assembly
GCCUGGGUGGCUUAGUCGGUUAAGCGUCCGACUUUCACUUAGGUCAUGAUCUCACGGUUCGUGGUCGUGGGUUCGAGCCCCACGUCAGGCU